Molecule: unclassified non-coding RNA, 378 nt
Filed under: uncultured Prochlorococcus sp.
Lineage: Bacteria; Bacillati; Cyanobacteriota; Cyanophyceae; Synechococcales; Prochlorococcaceae
Description: partial 16S-23S ribosomal RNA intergenic spacer
Source: RNAcentral
CCGUUGUGUGAUGUGAUUUAGGAUUUAAGUUUGCUGGCAGACCCUAGCUUCUUAUCAUUCCAGGACUCAAUCAAUUGAGAUGAGGUUGAUAGGACACUGGGCUCACUGUAAUUCGCAAGAAUUGCAGAGAUGUUCAGCAGAACCUUGACAACUGCAUAGGUAAGUCUGGAAAGAAUAAAGCAUCUCAUGGAUGCAUGAUUCUUGGGAAUCAGCUGAUGCAAUCUGCGCGAGCAGAGAGCUGAGGUUGAUGAAAGAGAAUGAUGUUUGAUUCUUGAGUCAAGAGCCGAGACUCUAUAGCGUUCUUUCGAUGUCAUCGAGGCAUCGAGAGUUUGAUUGGUGAUUCAAACCAUUUUCAAUGACAAACAAUUCAGUUUAACU